RNAcentral lists this ribosomal RNA (253 nucleotides) under uncultured bacterium. RNAcentral's name for it is "partial 16S ribosomal RNA". It matches the Rfam family "Bacterial small subunit ribosomal RNA", at positions 524 to 776 of the family's 1533-position model. The record is from RNAcentral.
UACGUAGGGGGCUAGCGUUGUCCGGAAUCAUUGGGCGUAAAGCGCGUGUAGGCGGUCCGGUAAGUCCGCUGUGAAAGUCGGGGGCUCAACCCUCGGAUGCCGGUGGAUACUGUCGGGCUUGAGUACGGAAGAGGCGAGUGGAAUUCCUGGUGUAGCGGUGAAAUGCGCAGAUAUCAGGAGGAACACCAACGGCGAAGGCAGCUCGCUGGGACGGUACUGACACUAAGGCGCGAAAGCGUGGGGAGCGAACAGG